CUCCGCCACGGCACAACCCGGGGGGCCGGGGGCGCCAACACUUGAGGCUGUAAUCACUGCUAAAGUUUCUCCUACAAAGUACUGAGUAAAGGGGGGCCACAUUGCGGGCCACCAGUUGUCCAUCCCAACCCUUGUCAUCUGAAGCAGAGAAUAGCUAACUCACACAUUGCUUACAUACUGUUGAGCUAGGCCCGUGAGUUGAAUUGGACCGGGUCCCUCCGGGGUCGAGAACUGGCACCAGGCGGAGCUGAGACUCUGUACCUUUUGGUUAUUUGAAUGAUCUAAUAGUUGUCCACAUUUAAUUUUCCACAGCCAACAACAUGAGUAAGCGACAACAAAAUCAGACAACCACAUAGUUGACGUAAGUAAUUGUUCAGCCUGUCGCAUAUAUGCAAGAAAAUAAUACUCCUGUCGAGUCGCAUUGAAAUUGCAAGUACCUGAUAGUGGAAUUUCUAAAUUCCUGUAUGUUUUGUAGCCAAAACCAGAUUCUCACUCAUUCUAAUUCAUUAAUGAGUUGUAAGUUCAUUAAUUAUGCAUGAAGUAGAUUGAGACCAGUCUUAAAAGCCAAAGGUAACAGCGUUUAUUUCAAGAGAGUACUAACCACAUACACAUAUUUCCACAGGUUAUAAACUGAAAAUGACAUCAUCAGUUUCCCACACUCUCUCCGAUUCUCACAAUAGCCCAGGGUUUUUAGGUCUGGAGAUUUUUCUACUCCCCUCAUAAACCAGACAUUCCAAUCUGUCUAAAAGAUAUCUUCUCUUCCACAAAUGGUACGUCAAGGACCAUUCUUAUCUGUCAGAAAAGAUACGUGCUCUCUCUCCCUUAAACCGCCCGAGAGGUACAGACAAUUAAUUCGUUUUGCUUACAUUUUCAGUAACAGCUUAACCAAGAGCCCAUACAUAAUAGAAUUAGAAGAAAUGGUUCUAAUUGAAAUGUAUACAUUAUUAAUCAUUUCAACUAUAAUUUCCUCCAACAGUACCUCACAUGGAGAGAAAUAUAUAUGCCCAGUCAUUGUACAACGUUCUUAAUGCAGUUGCAGGAAAACACCUUUGAGAGCAGUUUUGAUGGCCACUGUUAAAAGAGGAGGAUCCUGGAGCUUUCUAGUACCAGUCUACACUUAAAUCCAACAAAUUUGUCAAAUGCACAAUUUUAGAAUCAGUUUUUAGCAGCGGAAUGGUUAAUGCGUGUUAGGGCUUUCUAAAGGCGUUGGAUGCAUAGGUAAGACUGGGGCUAAAUGUAACAAAGGUAGUCCUACAUUAUAUUCACAGUACAUGGUCCUUGGUUGCCUAAGUGCCAGUGCAAUGUUUUUUCAGGGGACAUUCAAGUCAUCAAUAUGUUGCUAACUAGCAAUAUUUAGACUUGAGUUUAUGAUCUAGCUAAUGAUUAGCCAAAGGGGCAACCCUCAGCCUACUUAUUUAUAGCCACUUGGCUUCAUCACGUAAACUGGUGAUACCUGAUGAUACCUAAGGCUUAUAUAGCUUCGCUUUAGUACAUAAUGAACGCAUGCGCAGUACAUAAUCUUCACUUUCAAUCCAACCAGUGAAAACAACACGCGCUCUCUUCCAAGAUGUCAGCGCCUAUGGAAAUAGUUUUAUGUGCCGAUUCGGCUGGACAGCUAUGGAACUGUGCCAUUCUUGAACUCCAUUCUGGUACAAAUCUCUUGGCCUAUCGAGGUGGUAAUACUUCUUCGAGGUCCCUCACAGUUUUGAAUGGAGAGUACAUCCUCGGAGCCCAACUCGGGAAAAACUUCAUCAACGUGUGGGAAAUCCAGAGAAAGGAGCCAGGAUCGGACGACUUCACGGGGCACCAAUGAGGCUCCUGCACAGGCUCGGUCAGGACCCGCCCCCAACCUUCACCAACCAGUCAGAAGACAGAACUACAAGAAUCAACCUACGUCAUUCUAUAUACAAAAUCCGCUACACACUCUGUUUAGGGACCCUUUUCAGCUGACUCCUUCCGAGCCAUAUUUUUACCUUUAUUUUACUAGGCAAGAAGGUUAAGAACAAAUUCUUAUUUUCAAUGACGGCCUAGGAACAAUGGGUUAACUGCCAGUUCAGGGGCAGAACGACAGAUUUGUACCUUGUCAGCUUGGGGAUUCAAACUUGCAACCUUUCGGUUACUAGUCCAACGCUCUAACCACUAGGCUACCCUGCCGCCCCAUAUGAUUAGGUCCGUGCACGCUAAAACUGUAGGACAAGAUAUCUUUUGACUAAAUAAACUGCCUUUUUGCUAUACUUGA
Oncorhynchus gorbuscha (pink salmon) is the source of this 2239-nucleotide long non-coding RNA. RefSeq lists it as uncharacterized. The record is from RefSeq and is a predicted model, not a curated record. Lineage: Eukaryota; Metazoa; Chordata; Actinopteri; Salmoniformes; Salmonidae. The transcript has 2 exons.